AGCAGCCGCGGUAAUUCCAGCUCCAAUAGCGUAUAUUAAAGUUGUUGCAGUUAAAAAGCUCGUAGUUGAAUUUCGGGAUUGGCGCAUCGGUCGCGCCUCACGGGGUAUGAACUGGUGCAGUCAAUUUCUCACCUUCUGGAGAACCGCGAUGUCCUUAAUUGGAUGCCGCGGGGAACCAGGACCUUUACUUUGAAAAAAUUAGAGUGUUUAAAGCAGGCAUUUUUGCUUGAAUACAUUAGCAUGGAAUAAUAAAAUAGGACGGCAUGGUUCUAUUUUGUUGGUUUCUAGGACCACCGUAAUGAUUAAUAGGGAUAGUUGGGGGCAUUAGUAUUCAAUUGUCAGAGGUGAAAUUCUUGGAUUUAUUGAAGACUAACUACUGCGAAAGCAUUUGCCAAGGAUGUUUUCAUUAAUCAAGAACGAAAGUUAGGGGAGUCGAAGACGAUCAGAUACCGUCGUAGUCUUAACCAUAAACUAUAGCCGACUAGGAAUCAGACGAUGUUAAUUUUUAAUGACUCGUUUG
Molecule: ribosomal RNA, 520 nt
Filed under: uncultured Entrophospora
Lineage: Eukaryota; Fungi; Glomeromycota; Glomeromycetes; Entrophosporales; Entrophosporaceae
Description: SSU rRNA
Rfam family: Eukaryotic small subunit ribosomal RNA
Source: RNAcentral